ACAAGCGGUGGAUGAUGUGGAUUAAUUCGAUGCAACGCGAAAAACCUUACCUACCCUUGACAUGUCUGGAACCUUGCUGAGAGGCGAGGGUGCCUUCGGGAGCCAGAACACAGGUGCUGCAUGGCUGUCGUCAGCUCGUGUCGUGAGAUGUUGGGUUAAGUCCCGCAACGAGCGCAACCCUUGUCAUUAGUUGCCAUCAUUUAGUUGGGCACUCUAAUGAGACUGCCGGUGACAAACCGGAGGAAGGUGGGGAUGACGUCAAGUCCUCAUGGCCCUUAUAGGUGGGGCUACACACGUCAUACAAUGGCUGGUACAAAGGGUUGCCAACCCGCGAGGGGGAGCCAAUCCCAUAAAGCCAGUCGUAGUCCGGAUCGUAGUCUGCAACUCGACUACGUGAAGUCGGAAUCGCUAGUAAUCGCAGGUCAGCAUACUGCGGUCGAAUACGUUCCCGGGCCUU
Molecule: ribosomal RNA, 457 nt
Filed under: uncultured Thauera sp.
Lineage: Bacteria; Pseudomonadati; Pseudomonadota; Betaproteobacteria; Rhodocyclales; Zoogloeaceae
Description: bacterial SSU rRNA
Rfam family: Bacterial small subunit ribosomal RNA
Source: RNAcentral